UCAUUCUCAAGUUCCAUCGGA
RNAcentral lists this microRNA (21 nucleotides) under Ectocarpus siliculosus. RNAcentral describes it as "esi-miR3455-5p". The record is from miRBase by way of RNAcentral. Lineage: Eukaryota; Phaeophyceae; Ectocarpales; Ectocarpaceae.